RNAcentral lists this ribosomal RNA (468 nucleotides) under uncultured bacterium. RNAcentral describes it as "partial 16S ribosomal RNA". It matches the Rfam family "Bacterial small subunit ribosomal RNA", at positions 28 to 507 of the family's 1533-position model. The record is from RNAcentral.
GACGAACGCUGGCGGCGUGCUUAACACAUGCAAGUCGAACGGAAAGGCCCUGCUUUUGUGGGGUGCUCGAGUGGCGAACGGGUGAGUAACACGUGAGUAACCUGCCCUUGACUUUGGGAUAACUUCAGGAAACUGGGGCUAAUACCGGCUAGGAGCUCCUGCUGCAUGGUGGGGGUUGGAAAUUUUCGGCGGUUGGGGAUGGACUCGCGGCUUAUCAGCUUGUUGGUGGGGUAGUGGCUUACCAAGGCUUUGACGGGUAGCCGGCCUGAGAGGGUGACCGGCCACAUUGGGACUGAGAUACGGCCCAGACUCCUACGGGAGGCAGCAGUGGGGAAUAUUGCACAAUGGGCGGAAGCCUGAUGCAGCAACGCCGCGUGCGGGAUGACGGCCUUCGGGUUGUAAACCGCUUUCGCCUGUGACGAAGCGUGAGUGACGGUAAUGGGUAAAGAAGCACCGGCUAACUACGUG